RNAcentral lists this transfer RNA (71 nucleotides) under Salmo salar (Atlantic salmon). It matches the Rfam family "tRNA". Rfam says of the family: Transfer RNA (tRNA) molecules are approximately 80 nucleotides in length. Their secondary structure includes four short double-helical elements and three loops (D, anti-codon, and T loops). Lineage: Eukaryota; Metazoa; Chordata; Actinopteri; Salmoniformes; Salmonidae. The record is from Rfam by way of RNAcentral.
ACAUUGGUGGUUCAGUGGUAGAAUUCUCACCUGCCAUGCGGAAGCCCUGGGUUUGUAUCCCAGUCCAUGCA